RNAcentral lists this ribosomal RNA (700 nucleotides) under uncultured Nitrospira sp. RNAcentral's name for it is "bacterial SSU rRNA". It matches the Rfam family "Bacterial small subunit ribosomal RNA", at positions 58 to 750 of the family's 1533-position model. The record is from RNAcentral. Lineage: Bacteria; Pseudomonadati; Nitrospirota; Nitrospiria; Nitrospirales; Nitrospiraceae.
CAAGUCGAGCGAGAAGACGUAGCAAUACGUUUGUAAAGCGGCGAACGGGUGAGGAAUACAUGGGUAACCUACCCUAGAGUGGGGAAUAACUAGCCGAAAGGUUAGCUAAUACCGCGUACGCUCCUUGGACUUCGGUUCAGGGAGGAAAGCGCUACCGUGGGUAGCGCGCUCUUGGUUGGGCUCAUGUCCUAUCAGCUUGUUGGUGAGGUAACGGCUCACCAAGGCUUCGACGGGUAGCUGGUCUGAGAGGACGAUCAGCCACACUGGCACUGCGACACGGGCCAGACUCCUACGGGAGGCAGCAGUAAGGAAUAUUGCGCAAUGGGCGAAAGCCUGACGCAGCGACGCCGCGUGGGGGAUGAAGGUCUUCGGAUUGUAAACCCCUUUCGGGAGGGAAGAUGGAAUGGGGUAACCCAUUCGGACGGUACCUCCAGAAGCAGCCACGGCUAACUUCGUGCCAGCAGCCGCGGUAAUACGAAGGUGGCAAGCGUUAUUCGGAUUUACUGGGCGUACAGGGAGCGUAGGCGGUUCGGUAAGCCCUCUGUGAAAUCUUCAGGCUUAACCUGGAAAAGUCGGAGGGGACUGCUGGGCUAGAGGACGGGAGAGGAGCGCGGAAUUCCCGGUGUAGCGGUGAAAUGCGUAGAGAUCGGGAGGAAGGCCGGUGGCGAAGGCGGCGCUCUGGAACGUUUCUGACGCUGAG